Artibeus jamaicensis (Jamaican fruit-eating bat) is the source of this 754-nucleotide long non-coding RNA. RefSeq lists it as uncharacterized. The transcript has 3 exons. Lineage: Eukaryota; Metazoa; Chordata; Mammalia; Chiroptera; Phyllostomidae. The record is from RefSeq and is a predicted model, not a curated record.
GCCCAGAGGCUGCCCUGGGAGCCUGCAUUGCGCCGGGAGGGAGAACAGAGGUGGGCAGAGCUGGGCAGAGUUGAGACAGCGGAGAUGGGCAGGGAUCGUGAGGAUUGCGGACCCUGCUCCGAGCUGAUGUCAUCAGCUUUUGGGACCUGCCCAGGCCUGUGGCUGCCUCAGGACUGACACCAGGAGCCUUCUAGCUCAGCCUGGGACAGUCACAGCACUGCAGUUGCCAGACUUCCUGCCAAGGACACAGGGACAGGCAGCUCUCCAGGGGACUGCCUGCACCCUCCAAGCACAGCCAACUACAGCCCUGGAGUCCCGGCGGCUCCAGCAGGGACAAAGGUCUGACUGACGGGCAGAACCUGGCUUUUCUCUCCAGCACGGGGACUCUGGCCCCAAGGAUGAAGGCUUCGUAGGAGUUUUCCGGUCCAAGCCCCAAGCUCCAGAAUGAGGACAGUGAGGCCCAGAGAGGAACCGAUUUGCCCAAGGAGACGGGACGCUCAGGGCAGACCUGGGAGUCCCUGGGCCAUGUUCUGAUGUGGGACAAGGAUGAAGUCACCAGUGCUGGACCCAUCGGGCACCCUGUCUCAGGCGAAAUAGGAUAAGGUCUCCACGAGCCAACAGCGGCUGCUCCCCCAAGGCAGUCCUUCAAGGCAUGUGGGAGACAUAGAUCCAGCAAAGAAUUCCUGUGAGUGCCCUUGUUUCCUAGCCAGGAAGCUGUUGCGGGCAGUACAGUCUCGGAGGGCCGUGCUAAGCA